CUCCCUAAACCCGCCACCAGACAAUACACUCACACAACACCAAUACUCUGCUUCAAACUCUGCAACUUCUGAUUUCUAUUACAAUAAGUAACUAUUUGAUUUGGUAGUGGAUUGGAUUUUUUUUCGUAGACUGAAUUAAAGUAUACAAUACUUAUAGUCUCUUCUCUAUCACAUUGAUAUUAAGCUUUGAAUUCUCUUAUUUCGUUUUAAUUUUACCGCAGUUAACAUGUUUGAUGAAAUGCUUUAACCAUAUUUCUGGUUGGUUUUAUAAUUUCUAGCUUUUAUAAACUUAAUAAGUUGAUUGCAUGUGAAAUUAGAAUAAUUGGAUCUUAGUAAUUAGGGAAUUUUAUCUGCACAAAUAGCAUCUUUGCAGAAAACAUAUUAGCGUGAUGAUUCCACUUGUAUUAGUGUUCUUCUGGUAAAUUUUAACUGUUAUUGUGAACUUGUUAAUUUGCUAAUUGUUCUUGUGUUGUUGUUCUGUUGUUCUUCCUUUUUUUUUUGUUGUGAUUUUCUGUUCUUGAACUUGUUAAGUUGAUAAUUUGCUAAAUUGUUGGGCUGUUGUUUUAAUUUGCUAAAUUGUUAGGUUGCUGCGAUUUAAUUUGUUGGAUUUUCUAUUGAGGUCUUAUUCUUGUUUAUUUGCUAAAUUGUUGUUGUGUAUUUAUUGUGGUCUUUGAGAUUAUUGCUGGAUAUUGGUGAUCAUUGAUUUAUUAUAUGCUUCAUGUUUUCAUUGUUUUCUUUUUCUGAAGGAAAAAAAAUUUCUGUUUUCAAUGUUUUGUUGAUUGUUUGUUUUGUUUCAGAAAUCAAUUUUCUGUGAUCAGUGCCCAAACUCUGAAUGCUGUUCUGUUGGUUUUGCUGUGUUUGUUUUGUUUCAGAAAUCAAUUUUUUUGUGAUCAAUGCUCAAACUCUGAAUGUUGUUCUGCUGUUUUUGUUUUGCUUCAGAAAUCAAUUUUGUGAUCAAUGCUCAUACUCCGAAUGUUGUUCUGUUUUGUUUUAAGGCUGUGUUUGGAAGAGGUGAUUGAUUUCUGAGUUUUGUUUAGUUUUUGUUUUAAGGCCGUGUGUUGUGUUCAAUUUUCAUUUUGUAGGAAAUUCUUUGAGGUAUAUAAGACUUAAGAAGGAAGACUAUUUAUAUGGUAUUACUCUGUUGAUUCUGGUCUGCUACAAGCUUGAACAUAGAAUUGAAGAGAGAAACCCUUUAUUAUUUCAUCAUUGGCCUAUAUUUGGCAUUGCAUAUCAUUGUAGUUUGUUUAUUCAUAGAACUAGUUGUUUAUGAUCCCCUUUUGAAGUAAAAAAAUGCAGUAGAAGAGUGUUUAAAACCAGUUGCUUUAUUUAUUGAAUUUUUAUAGAAGUGUUUUAUUUUAAAACGGUUUUCUCGGUUGAACCAAUGAACCAGUGAACCAGUAAUUAAAACGGUUCGAUGAGCGGUCCGGUUUUCAAAACCUUGAUUUCUUUCCACCUAGCACAUUAGGCGUUUUGGCGCCAAUUCUAAUUUUAGAUAUUUCAAGCUCUGGAAUCCGAUGGAAGAUCUUCGGAAUCCAAUGCUGAAGUUCUUCUCUGAUCAAGAGCUUUGUUAUGCUGAGAUCGUCCCUAGUGCUCAGGUCCGAGCUAGAAUUGAAGUUUCAGUGCUCAAUUUUCUCAAGAAUUUGAAUGCAUCAAACCCUGCCAUCUCAGAUUUGCCUCUGAUUCAGAGAAAAUUUUGCAACAGCCGAGUGAAUCAUAGCUUGAUGACCGACCUAUCAUGUGUUUUCCUCUCCCAUUCUGUUUCUUCGAGGUCCUUGAUGAGGCCUAAUGCAGCAAAGGCCUUCGUUAGAGUGUGGAAGGUGAUGGAGUUGUGCUAUCAGAUACUGCUUCAGGAAAAGCGUGUCACGCAGAGGGAGCUAUACUACAAGCUUCUGUGCGAUUCGCCACAUCUGUUUCCUUCUCAGAUAGAUGUCAACAGGACAAUCCAAGAUGUCGUGGCAUUGCUUAGGUGCAGCCGAUACAGUCUCGGAAUCAUGGCAUCUAGUCGAGGUCUAGUAGCUGGCCGCCUUACUUUUCAGGAGCCGGGCAAAGAGGUUGUUGAUUGCUCUGUAUGCGGAUCUUCUGCACAUGCAAUUCCAGGAGACGUGAAUUUGUUAGAAAACUUGAUUCUAGAUACUGAUGCUAGAUACAUUAUAAUUGUGGAGAAGGUUUUAUUUAUCCCCCCGCCCCCCCAAAGGUAGAAAGUUUGAUUCAAGAAUAUUGUUCUGUUUAGCAUGCAAUAUUUCAGCGGCUUGCUGAGGAUCAAUUUUUUAAUCAAAUUCCAAGCAUUCUUGUCACAGCUAAAGGUUAUCCAGAUAUGGCAACGAGAGUUCUUCUUCAUCGAAUCCAUCGAACAUUUCCUGACUUGCCAAUUUUAGCUUUG
Arachis ipaensis is the source of this 2380-nucleotide non-coding RNA. The record is from RefSeq and is a predicted model, not a curated record. NCBI's taxonomy places the organism in Eukaryota, Viridiplantae, Streptophyta, Magnoliopsida, Fabales, Fabaceae.